UACAGAGGUCUCAAGCGUUGUUCGGAUUCAUUGGGCGUAAAGGGUGUGUAGGUGGCGCCGUAAGUCGGGUGUGAAAUUUCGGGGCUUAACUCCGAAACUGCAUUCGAUACUGCCGUGCUUGAGGACUGGAGAGGAGACUGGAAUUUACGGUGUAGCGGUGAAAUGCGUAGAUAUCGUAAGGAAGACCAGUGGCGAAGGCGGGUCUCUGGACAGUUCCUGACGCUGGGGCACGAAGGUCAGGGGAGCAAACGGG
RNAcentral lists this ribosomal RNA (253 nucleotides) under uncultured bacterium. RNAcentral describes it as "partial 16S ribosomal RNA". It matches the Rfam family "Bacterial small subunit ribosomal RNA", at positions 524 to 776 of the family's 1533-position model. The record is from RNAcentral.